This 433-nucleotide ribosomal RNA is filed under the name uncultured bacterium. RNAcentral describes it as "partial 16S ribosomal RNA". It matches the Rfam family "Bacterial small subunit ribosomal RNA", at positions 29 to 507 of the family's 1533-position model. The record is from RNAcentral.
AGCGAACGCUGGCGGCAGGCCUAACACAUGCAAGUCGAACGAACUCUUCGGAGUUAGUGGCGGACGGGUGAGUAACAUGUGGGAACGUGCCUUUUGGUUCGGAAUAACUCAGGGAAACUUGUGCUAAUACCGAAUGUGCCCUUCGGGGGAAAGAUUUAUCGCCAUUAGAGCGGCCCGCGUCUGAUUAGCUAGUUGGUGAGGUAACGGCUCACCAAGGCGACGAUCAGUAGCUGGUCUGAGAGGAUGACCAGCCACACUGGGACUUAGACACGGCCCAGACUCCUACGGGAGGCAGCAGUGGGGAAUCUUGCGCAAUGGGCGAAAGCCUGACGCAGCCAUGCCGCGUGAAUGAUGAAGGUCUUAGGAUUGUAAAAUUCUUUCACCGGGGACGAUAAUGACGGUACCCGGAGAAGAAGCCCCGGCUAACUUCGUG